Molecule: ribosomal RNA, 569 nt
Filed under: uncultured Cenococcum
Lineage: Eukaryota; Fungi; Ascomycota; Dothideomycetes; Gloniales; Gloniaceae
Description: eukaryotic LSU rRNA
Rfam family: 5.8S ribosomal RNA (bases 209-362)
Source: RNAcentral
CUUGGUCAUUUAGAGGAAGUAAAAGUCGUAACAAGGUUUCCGUAGGUGAACCUGCGGAAGGAUCAUUACAGAAAGUAAACGCGGGUCAAACCGCGAACUUCUAAACCUUUGACGAUUGACUCAUGUUGCCUCGGCGGGUUCGCCCGCCAGAGGAUACAUCAAAACUCCUGUUUUAACGGUGUUGUCUGAGCUACAAGCAACGAAUCAAAACUUUCAACAACGGAUCUCUUGGUCCUGGCAUCGAUGAAGAACGCAGCGAAAUGCGAUAAGUAGUGUGAAUUGCAGAAUUCAGUGAAUCAUCGAAUCUUUGAACGCACAUUGCGCCCCUUGGUAUCCCGAGGGGCAUGCCUGUUCGAGCGUCAUUUCACCACUCAAGCCUGGCUUGGUGUUGGGCGACGUCCCUUUGGGACACGCCUCGAAACGCUCGGCGGCGUGGCACCGGCUUUAAGCGUAGCAGAAUCUUUCGCUUUAAAAGUCGGGGCCCCGUCUGCCGGAAGACCUACUCGCAAGGUUGACCUCGGAUCAGGUAGGGAUACCCGCUGAACUUAAGCAUAUCAAUAAGCGGAGGA